GCCUGGGUGGCUCAGUCUGUUGAGCAUCCGACUUCGACUCAGGUCAUGAUCUCAUGGUUUGUGGGUUCGAGCCCCCCAUCAGGCU
This 85-nucleotide transfer RNA is filed under the name Felis catus (domestic cat). It matches the Rfam family "tRNA". Rfam says of the family: Transfer RNA (tRNA) molecules are approximately 80 nucleotides in length. Their secondary structure includes four short double-helical elements and three loops (D, anti-codon, and T loops). Further hydrogen bonds mediate the characteristic L-shaped molecular structure. tRNAs have two regions of fundamental functional importance: the anti-codon, which is responsible for specific mRNA codon recognition, and the 3' end, to which the tRNAs corresponding amino acid is attached (by aminoacyl-tRNA synthetases). tRNAs cope with the degeneracy of the genetic code in two manners: having more than one tRNA (with a specific anti-codon) for a particular amino acid; and 'wobble' base-pairing, i.e. permitting non-standard base-pairing at the 3rd anti-codon position. The record is from Rfam by way of RNAcentral. Lineage: Eukaryota; Metazoa; Chordata; Mammalia; Carnivora; Felidae.